GAUGAAGAACGUAGCGAAAUGCGAUAAGUAGUGUGAAUUGCAGAAUUCAGUGAAUCAUCGAAUCUUUGAACGCACAUUGCGCCCCUUGGUAUCCCGAGGGGCAUGCCUGUUCGAGCGUCAUUUCACCACUCAAGCCUGGCUUGGUGUUGGGCGACGUCCUCUUUGGGGACGCGCCUCGAAACGCUCGGCGGCGUGGCACCGGCUUUAAGCGUAGCAGAAUCUUUCGCUUUGGAAGUCGGGGCCCCGUCUGCCGGAAGACCUGCUCGCAAGGUUGACCUCGGAUCAGGCAGGGAUACGCGCUGAACUUAAGCAUAUCAAUAAGCGGAGGA
This 329-nucleotide unclassified non-coding RNA is filed under the name soil metagenome. RNAcentral describes it as "partial contains 5.8S ribosomal RNA, internal transcribed spacer 2, and large subunit ribosomal RNA". The stretch from base 1 to 120 matches the Rfam family "5.8S ribosomal RNA", at positions 35 to 154 of the family's 154-position model. The record is from RNAcentral.